This 273-nucleotide long non-coding RNA is filed under the name Trifolium pratense (red clover). Its description in RNAcentral is "long non-coding RNA (TPRA_LNC002710)". The record is from RNAcentral. Lineage: Eukaryota; Viridiplantae; Streptophyta; Magnoliopsida; Fabales; Fabaceae.
UAUAUAUUAGAUUGAUGAAGUGAACAAAGAUCAUAGUGAGCAUCAGUAUGGCCACCCAAGAAACAUUGCUAGAAAAUUCUAGAAAAUCCAUUUCUAAAACAUUUUGGUUAAUCCUCUCUUUAGCUGCUAUCAUAAGCUCAUCAUCCCUUAUUGUUUCUCAUCUCAACAAACCCAUCUCCUCCAUCUCACACCUCUCCUCAGCUCCCAAUGUGUGUGAACAUGCACUUGAUACAAAAUCUUGCUUAACUCAUGUAUCAGAGGUAGUUCAAGGUU